Molecule: ribosomal RNA, 520 nt
Filed under: uncultured Diversispora
Lineage: Eukaryota; Fungi; Glomeromycota; Glomeromycetes; Diversisporales; Diversisporaceae
Description: SSU rRNA
Rfam family: Eukaryotic small subunit ribosomal RNA
Source: RNAcentral
AGCAGCCGCGGUAAUUCCAGCUCCAAUAGCGUAUAUUAAAGUUGUUGCAGUUAAAAAGCUCGUAGUUGAACUUCGGAAUUUAUUCAUUGGUCAGGCUUAACUGUCUGUACUGGUGUGAUGAAUUCCUACCUUCUGAGGAAUCUUCAUGCCAUUCACUUGGUGUGGUGGGGAAUCAGGACUGUUACUUUGAAAAAAUUAGAGUGUUUAAAGCAGGCUAACGUCUGAAUACAUUAGCAUGGAAUAAUAAAAUAGGACGGCUUGGUUCUAUUUUGUUGGUUUCUAGGAUCACCGUAAUGAUUAAUAGGGAUAGUUGGGGGCAUUAGUAUUCAAUUGUCAGAGGUGAAAUUCUUGGAUUUAUUGAAGACUAACUACUGCGAAAGCAUUUGCCAAGGAUGUUUUCAUUAAUCAAGAACGAAAGUUAGGGGAUCGAAGACGAUCAGAUACCGUCGUAGUCUUAACCAUAAACUAUGCCGACUAGGGAUCGGACGAAGUUAAUUUUUAAAUGACUCGUUCGGCACCU